Molecule: ribosomal RNA, 273 nt
Filed under: uncultured bacterium
Lineage: Bacteria
Description: partial 16S ribosomal RNA
Rfam family: Bacterial small subunit ribosomal RNA
Source: RNAcentral
AACGUAGGACGCAAGCGUUAUCCGGAAUUACUGGGCGUAAAGCGCGUGUAGGUGGUUGCAUAAGUCACUGUUGAAAGCUCCCGGCUAAACUGGGAGAGGUGCGGUGAGACUGUGCGGCUAGAGUAUGGGAGAGGGAUGCAGAAUUCCGGGUGUAGUGGUGAAAUGCGUAGAGAUCCGGAGGAAUACCAGAGGCGAAGGCGGCAUCCUGGCCUGAGACUGACACUGAGACGCGAAAGCAUGGGGAGCGAACGGGAUUAGAAACCCCCGUAGUCC